Non-coding RNA from Hydra vulgaris (swiftwater hydra), 3638 nucleotides. The record is from RefSeq and is a predicted model, not a curated record. NCBI's taxonomy places the organism in Eukaryota, Metazoa, Cnidaria, Hydrozoa, Anthoathecata, Hydridae.
AUUGGUCGAUAACUGUGAAAUUGAUUUAAGUGAUUAGUUAGAUACAAGUGAACAAUGGUUACAAGAUGACUAGAGACAAGUUAAAUAAUGGAGGAAUAAUUAUUGGCUUGCAUUUAUAUAGUAUAGUAUAUUUAAUAUAGAAUAACUAAUAAGACUUAAUUCACCAAGAUUUAAUAAUUGUAAGACCAAUAAAGUUGAAUGUGAAUAUUUUGCAAUUAAAAUAAGGUUAUUUUUAAUUGCAAAACCAGCAAUUUGUGUUAGAAAAACAAAUGACAUUUAAAAAAAAUGGUUUAUUAUUUAAUUCUCAUAGAAAGGGUCCUCUCUGGUAUUGCCUUGUUAAAUAAUAAGCAUUCUCAUUCGUUUAACAUGUAUUGUAAAAUCAGGGGCGGGUUAUGUCACUUGCCAAGAAAGGGGAUAAAAUGUUCAACAAAAAAAAAGUCUGCAUAUUUUCAUUUUUAAGAUUGUUUUAUUUUUUGUACUUUAGUGUAAUAAUCAAGUUCAUAUACGUAUAAUUAUGUAUAAUAGUCAAUUUCAUUUGUCAGUAUAGUAAUCCAGUUCUGUAUAAUAGUCAAUUUACAAAAGAAUUUUAUGAAAAAAAGUCCUAAGGAACGGUGGUAUUGUGGGUACGGGGGAAGAGGCUACUACCCAAUGCCCCCCCCCCUAAAACCCGCCACUGUGUAAAAUCUCCUCUUUUUCAGUGAUUACCACAUGGCAACCCUAUUAAAAGAUAAUUAGCUAAGUUUGAAGGUUUGGAUUGUCUUUUAAAAGACAUUCAAGGAUUUUUCAAAAAAUAUAUAAAUAUAAACAGCGCACAUUUAUUUAAAACUUUAAAUCACUGAUAAAAGAUUUAAUAAAUAAUUGAUUAAAAAGGUUUAUUUUAUAAAAAUAAAUAUAUUAUUGGUUAGCCUCUAAACUUACCCUGCUUAUUGAAUAAAUGUUUAACAGUAAGUAUUGUAUUUCUGAGUAAAUAUUUGAUAGCAGUGUUUACGUACAGUCCUAUACAGUUCUUUUCAGAUUAACAAUAAAUAUUAAUCUUGAUGCCAUUUAAAUGUGUUCAAAUUUUAUAUUUUUUUGAUUUUGAUAAUACAAAUAUGAUGAUUAAUGCUGAGAUAAUUACACAGAAAAAUAUUUUCAUAUUAUUAUCAAUGAUGGAGUGAAACAUUUGUAUUAGGAUGCAUGGGAAUUGCAAAUGAAUAUCAAGCUGCUAUGGCAACCAUUUGAAUCUGAUAGUUACUGUGAGCAAUAUAGUAUAUUAUUUUAAAUCAAAUUAACUGCGAAAAAUGAAUUUCAAUAAACUGGUCACUUUGCUAAAAUUUCAACAAACAACGUAAGUAUAUUACUAAUUUAAGACUGGAAGGUUAAACUUUCAAAUAUCUUCAAUAAGCAUCUGCUAUGCAUUAAGUGUUUAAAAAUAUCAAUUAUAAAGUAAGUAAAACAAAAUGUAUUUUAAAAUUUUAAUUUACACAAAGCAUAGAGAGUUUUUAACAAAAGCUCAAAUAAAUAAUCGUAUUGCAAAUAUUGAAAAGGCCUCUCCAUUGGUAAAUAAACGUCAAACAAUAUGUAUAGAGAAUGCAAGCAAAUGUUAAGCAGUUAUAUUUAUUAUUGCUUAGUUUCUUUUUGUAUAUUUAUAAUAUAUACUAUACCUGUAAUCUUGAAUAUUCACAUUUUUAGUACUAAUUUGUAUAUUUAUUUAGUUAUGUUUUAGUUAACAUAAUGUAUUUAACUUAAUAAUUUAACGUUAAACUAAUGAACUUUAAAAAAAGAUUAUUUUGCAAACUAAAGUUUAACAUUUUGUUGUUGAAAAACCUGUAAUAUCUAAUUUUUAUUUCCAGAUUGUAUUUUAAGCUAGUUUUUUUUUAGCCUAAAUAACCAUAGCUAAUAAAGGCUAGCAAAUGACUGACUGAAAAAAAGCUGAAAAAUUUGUUUCAGCUUAUUUUCUGACACAAUUAUGACUAUUAAUUGUUACUAUUUAAUAAAACUUUUCACUUUAGGGUUUUAAUUAUGAUACAAACAUUCAACUGUAUGAUUUUAAUUAUGACAAUUAUAUACAAGCAUUUAACUAUAUGAGAUUAAUGAGCUAGCAAGUAAAAAACUUACUUUGAUCAAACAUAGUUUGAUGAGAGGAUAAGAAUAUUAACUCUUCAAAGUUUAGGAAAUAUAAAAAAUCAACGCUUUUAAAAAAGUUUUUUUCUAUUUUUUUAUUAAUAAAAUUUUAGGUUUUCUUCUUAUUAUUAUUUUUCAUUGUGUUCAGUUUUCAUUAUUAACUUUUUAUUGUUAAAACUACUAAAAUUUAUGUUUAUUUCAGAAUGAUAAAAAUGAUUAAACAAGAAAAAAAUCAAUACUUGAGGGAAUGGUGCCAAAGUAAUCAAGCCUUAAAUAAUAUACUUGUAAAUGAAGAAAUUGACAACUCAUUGGAUGUCAAAUCUAGUAUUAAUGAAGUCUAGAUUUUUAUUGAUUUCAAAAACAUUAAAAUUGAGAACUAUAGUGACUUAUUUUGUGUCUGAUCAUAAAGAUACUUCUGAAACUGAGAGUUCUGAUCUAGACUCUUAGGUUCCUAUGAGUGAUAAUAAUGAAGAUCUUAAUGAUGGAGUACUUGUUACAGAGAUUGCCAAAUGGACUUUAAAACACAGAAUAACUAUAAAUGCAAGUGAUGAACUGUUUUAUUUAAUUUUACACCAGUAUGGUCAUCAUGUUGAUUUACUCAAAUGAACAAGUACAAUUUAAAAUACUUCUAGGAAUGUUCCAAGUGAGUUAAAAUGUGGAGGUGAGUAUGUUUAUUUUAGUAUUUCAAACAGUAUAUCAAGAACUUUAGUAGUCAACUAGCAUUAUAGAUUUGAGUCAAGUACAAUUUUUCUAGUUGUCAAUGUAGAUAGCCUUCCCUUAUUCGAGUCAUCAAACACACAGGCCUAUAAUAUGUAUGUUUGACAAAGGGACACCAUUUAUUGUAUUGCUAUUUGUUAGUGAUAACAAGCCAAAUAUUAGUGAUGAUUUUUUAUAUGAUUUUUUGCAUGAGUAUGAGUUAUUAUUGGCAAAUGGUUUUCAGUAUAAUUCAUAUAACUUCAAUUACAUCUUGAGAAAGAUUUUUGCAAAUGUGCGAAUAAAAAUGACAGGAAGUUAAAGCGUAACCGUUUUUAAAAGAUUGAGUCCCUUAAAGAAUUUUAUUAAUUUGAAACCAGAUUAAAACAUAACUGGGAGUACGAUAAAUUGAACAACUGUGACAAAUAACCAAAUGAAUCCUGUCUUAUUCGAACAUGAACUUUUCGCCAGACUUUCAUUUAUGUUUUAGCUUUGUAACCUCAAGAAAGCAGGUAGAAAAAAAUGUUAAAGAAAAUACAAAAAAUGUUAUGGUCGGAAUUAUGGAGCAUCAUGUUAGCCCAAGUUGAAUAUGAAAAGCAAAAUUCAUGGUGAUAUAAAGAAGGAAUUAUUCGAAGAUAAAAAGUUGUGUAAAGCAAUAAUUGAAAUCAUUCUGCUAAUGCACUAGAGUUCGACGGAAUCAAACAAAAGAUCAAAUAGGAAGCAUUUUAAAGUUCUCUCCAUUAAACAAUUAUUUAUUUUUGAGUUUUUUUAUAAAUUUAUAAUAAAAAAAAUAUAUACAUCUUUAAUAAUAAAUUUAUAGUAAAAAGAAUAUAUACAUCAUA